This 341-nucleotide ribosomal RNA is filed under the name uncultured bacterium. RNAcentral's name for it is "bacterial SSU rRNA". It matches the Rfam family "Bacterial small subunit ribosomal RNA", at positions 29 to 352 of the family's 1533-position model. The record is from RNAcentral.
AACGAACGCUGGCGGCGUGGAUAAGACAUGCAAGUCGAACGUGAUUUUUCCGAGUAGCAAUACCUGGUAAAGUUCAGUGGCGAACGGGUGCGUAACACGUGGGCAAUCUGCCUUAAAGUGGGGGAUAGCUCGGCGAAAGCCGAAUUAAUACCGCAUGUGAUUAGCCAGGACAUCUUGGCGAAAUCAAAGUUGGUGCAAGCUAACGCUUUUUGAGGAGCCCGCGGCCUAUCAGCUAGUUGGUGAGAUAACGGCUCACCAAGGCUUUGACGGGGUAGCUGGUCUGAGAGGACGACCAGUCACACUGGAACUGAGACACGGCCCAGACACCUACGGGUGGCAGC